GAGGCCAGUACACUGGAGGGUGCGCUCUGCCUGUGCAAGCCCAGGUAACACCGCAUACCUCUGGCUCUGGGAGUACAGCUGUGGGGGCUGGUGUGUGUGCAUGGUGGUGGGAAGUCUGGCUGGAGGAAGUGUGUGGACCAGCAUAAAGUGCAGCGAGAGUUUAUUUUGCCCCAAACCAGUGGUCACUGAUACAUACAUUACUCUAGGUCUUACUGAAGCCAGUUUUUGAUGCAUUUGGGAUCUGAAACACUAGGUUAUUUGUGGCUUGUUGUUUUUUUCAGUACGAGGGAUUGAACCAGGACUUUUGCAGCCCAUUUUUGGUAUUUCUCAUUUUCCGACAGGGUCUCCCUAAUUGCUAAACUGCCCAGGACGGGCUUGAACUAUUGAUCCUUUGGCCUCAGCCUCCUGGAGUGCAGGGAUUACAGGCAGGCACCACUCUCUGGGGCUCCAGCUUGGGUUUAACAAACAAUCCUUCUACUGUCAUAGCUUUUGGACAGAGAUUCUGAUGAACUACUGUGGAGUGCUUCCUGCGAGCACUCUGCAGGUACAAGGCAGGGAUGCUUAGACAGCAGACCUAUGCGAGACUUUGCUCUGACCGGUUUCGCUUCUUCACCUGUACAGACAACUGGUUGCCCGAAGCCUGGCAGUGUGGCUUGCUCUAGGUCACUCAGACGUACACCAGACAACCUUGGCCCCUUGAAAGUGGCAGUGCUGCAGCACACACACACACACACACACACACACACACACACGGGAAGACAGCUUCUCUCUCUUCCUUGGGUGGGUGGGUGCAGGUCCUCUAACAGCCCAUGCUGAGGUUCUAGCCCCCAGUCCCAGAACCCAGCCCAGCAGAAGAGGCCAGCCUCCGUCUCCCUGCAGAUCUCAGGGAACCACACUGCUACUAUUGUGGCAGGCCUGGCUGCAGAGGAAAUAAGGGGACCAAGCAAGGAAGACUCAUCCACAGUGGCUCUCAGAGCUGUGCCCUGUAAAGCUCCCUACCCCCAGCCAUGGGUACCCCCUGAGGGAAGGGAAAUGAUGCUCAAGAUGCCCAGAGCUACCCGACACUAUGGGAACAGCUCUUGGAGUAGCCCAGCGGGUCUCCAGGACUAAGCUAUCCUCCCUGACUGCCUCUGAAGGUUUUAGAGAGUAAAAAUCAGCCACACCCGGCUCCUGAAUUCUGCUUAUUCAAGUAAGAGAGUUCCGCAGGCCUGGCUUCCUCCUCCCUCCCACCUGCGCCUGACUCUCCAGGCUGGAGUUGGGAGUUCUAACCACAUCUCCCUCUUCUAUUCUUCUCUUGCCAGGCUGGACAAAGGCCCCUCUCGACACACCCCUGGCCUUCUGUCCUAUUUAUCCCUUCCAACAAUUCUCUUUUAAAACACAUUUUCACAUUGCUUCUUUUUAAGUCUUUUGAUUAAAAGAAAAAAAAAAAAACCCCACAGUUCUCAGAUAAAAGCACACAAACCAGUCACUAGCACCCAAGGACUGCCCUGCUUUAAGAAUUUAAGUUGUGCUUGAAUACAGCAUUAUCUACUUCACACGCUCAGGCUGCCCACAGGGUCGGGCUACGUUCUGUAGGAGAGAUAGGAGAUCUGGCUGGAAUUCCACAAGAAAUGUACCACGUGGGGGAAAUCCACGCAGCUUGGGCCUUGGCUGGUCACAUUUCUGAGCCAAUGCUUUGCUAAAGGGUAUCUUGGUAUCUUCUUUUAAGAAUAAACAAUCCCAAUACUCAGUGCCUUUUCUGAACCCCAAUGCUUUGAAAGAAUUUGACUGUUUGCAAAUUCAAAGUUGGAAAUGAAAUCCUCACAAGUAAGACCUGAAUCCAUUUAUUCAUGGUAAAAUGAGUAUGGCUUUGAAGAGUCUGUCCUCAUUAGGAUCAUCCAAAAGUAAUCUGUGAUCUGGGGUGAGAUUGCCUAACGAACCUGCCAGGGAAGGAGACCUGUUUUCUAACAGGAACUCUGCCUUCAAAGAACUCAGCAAAUGCCAUAAAGGCAACUGCAGUGUAUUUCUUCUUUAAGAAUGUUUCAUUUGGUUUCUUAAUCAGUGUAAUUUUUCUCUUGCACAGUUUAGGGUACUUCCUUCUUCUCCCCUAAAAUAUAUUAAAAUAAACCUUGGACUCUGAUGAAGGCAUAGAAUCCUCCCCGUACACACAGGAAUGUCCAUUCCUCCAGGCUUGGGAGGUUUCCUUAGCUAAUGAACUAGAACACUGUCACAUGUCUGCUUGCCAAGUAAUAUAUUAAAGUGCUUUUCUAAUGAGAUCUCUGCAAGGUAGCCAUUAAACAGCACACUAAGCUUCAGUGAAGCAAAUGAAGUUUUAAAAAAUAACCAAAUGCCUCUAAAGGAGACACGAGGUCAAUGUGGCAGCUAAAAAACCUGACAAGCACAAAAAUAAAAGUGCAAAUAAUUUUCACAUCUGAAAAACGUGGCAGAUACUAGGCAGAGUAGUGCAGCAGGCAGGUCAUAAAGAUGCCACCUGUGUGUCCCAGGAUGGGACUUUAGACACCUCCCUUUCCACUCGUGUUUGUCUGGAACACACACCUGCUGCAUAUGGAUCUCCAAAUGGGUCGUAUCUUAAAAACCUGGAACAUCCCUUCAAUUUUAGAAUUUUAAUCUGAGAAUUCAGGAAUGUUAUGAAAAAAUUCUCAAUACCAAGCAUCCUUUUGCCAGUGUGGGCUGCUAUAACAAAUGUCAUAGUUUGGGAUGGCUUAAACAGACGGAUUUGUCUCUCAUAGCCCUGGAGGCUGGAACUCCAGGACCAGGGUGCCAGCAUGGGAUGUGGAUGGCUACUUUAUUGCUGCAUUCCUGUAUGGUACAGAGGCAGCAUCCCUUCUCUUUCUUCUUGUCAGGCCACUAAUCCUAUCUAUGAGGGCUCGCUCCUUAUGAUUAAAUCACAUCUCAAAGGCCCUAUACGCAAAUAUCUCACUAGCCCUGAGAACCGGGGUGUGAAUAUAGCAAAUUUGUUUGUUUUUAAAAAUGGAUGAAAUGUUAUAUACAUAAUUAUCAGAUAGUUUCACUAGAGGGCAGAUUUGACAUGAGAUAUAUUCUAUUUAUGAGGGUUUACCAGGUAGGCUUGCACUGGCCACCUGCAGUGUCACGUGUGGAAGCUGCCAUCCAGGCAAAGGUAGAGGGCCUGGGGUUCACAGGAUGUAGAAACUCUGCAGAACCCUAAUGGCAUGGAUGCAUCUCUUAGGACCAGUAAAAUGAGGAGUUCUGACUUGAAAUAAAAACAGUAACAAUGCCAUGAAGUCUGUGCCUCGGACCUCGCUAACAGAGUUCUGGAGUUCUUCCCAUGGCUCCUACUUGUUCCUCUGCCUUCAUUAUUUAACUGCAGAACCCCUUAGCAUAAGGGAGGUCCUUUUAACCAUUUUGUGUUUCUAGAGGUUGAACUCGGGCCAUCACACAUGCCAGGUAAGCACUUUCCUGCUGAGCUAUGUCGUUAGCCCUGCAGAGGCUGAGAAGCCUGAACCUUAGGUUUGUGUUACUGGGCGCAGAUGGCUCCAGGGUGUGGGGUACUGGUCUGAUCAGCCUUGCGGCAUGGGACUCAGUAAAGCAUGGCAUUGGGUCUGAAAACCAACACUGAAGACUUAAGGAAGGGCGGGCUAGGGCAGGCAAACACCUGUUAACUAUCUUCUCUCUCUGAAAUGAUGUCACAUCUUGGAUGAGAAGUCUUGAUCUUAGUUACUCCAGAGGGAGGUACCAUUAUCAUAGAAUGACUGCACUUUAAGAUCAAGAUAACAAAGCAUUGGGGCUGGGGAUUUAGCUCAGCGGCAUAAGCGCCUGCCUUGCAAGCAGGCAGUCGUGAGUUCGAUCCCCGGUACCGAUAAAAAGGAAAAAGACAAAAAAAAAAAAAAAAAAAAAAAAAAAAAAAAAAAAAGAUAACAAAGCAUCAGUAGUUAAAGAUAGCCAAAAAUAAACCAAUUUUUAAAAGAUACAAUUGUGUGUUAUGAAUGAUAGCCAAGAGUGACCAGGGACUUAUCCUUCAUUUUAUUUACAAAUUUAAUCUAAUUGAAAAUUUUUUUUCUUUUUGAGACAAGGUCUCAGUGUGCAGUUCAGGCUGGCCUUGAGCUCACUUUGUAGGCCAGGCUGGUCUUGAACUUGCAAUGAUUCUCCUGCCUCAGCCUCCCAAGUGCUGAGAUUACAGAAGGAUUUUCUUUUAUUACUUAAUAUGAUCAUUUUUAAAAACAGAAAAUCUUCUAUGUAUUGGGAAAUGAUUUAUUCAAGAUCAACAGGGUUAAAGUAAUUUUCAAAAUAUGGUGCUCUGGAUUUAAAUGAAAGAAACAAAGCAGAAUAAAUCAUGUAACAGAAAUAUUAUAUAUUUGCUUCUAUAAAGCCAAAGAACACAUUAAAACAGUCUUCCUUUUGUACACAUUCAUCAAGGGAAAGACACUUGAUCUUAGCCAAAAGGCCAAGAAGCAACUGGAUACACUGUAAAGUCGAAUAAUUGACAGAACAAUUAUUCUGCUGCUCCAGAUCCAAUAGAAAUGCUGGCGUGCAGCUUUCAACUGAAUUCUGUCUCCAGGAAUACAAUGGAAAGUGAAAUGCACAGGGAAAGGAGCUGUUGUGUGGUUAACGUCAUUUCUGGAUUCACCCAGGUUCAGACCUGGGUGAGCCUGGGAAAGGUACUGAGCCUCCACCUACCCAUCUGUAAGAUGCGAAGGCUAGCUGCACAUGGAGCUGUGGGAUUCCUGUGACACAUGUCACCUGGCACACAGUGAGCAUUCAAUAAUGGCAGCUGUUAUUUAUGAUUUUGAAGCAAUGAUUUUCAAAUGCUAUAGGAUUUGUUUUUCUGGUUGUGGAGGAAGUUGGACUACAUGAUGUUCACGAUUCUUUUCCACCACAUAUGCUGCUAUCCUGUUUCGUGUCAGUUUUUCCCCUUAACCAACUUCUGCUCCAACCCCCACCAGAGCUAAUAUAAUCAAAAGAGCAGCAAUGUGUUUGCUGACUGCACUGUGGCAUUUACCUGUGAGACCCUUUUAACAUGCCUGGGGGGAGUAGCUAAUGCAGUUCCCCAUUUUACAGAGAAGAAAACUGAGGCACAGAAAGAUCAAGUAACUUGCUGACACUCACAAGGCUCAUACAAGGCAGCUCUGGGACAAAAAAAAAAAAAAAAAAAUCAAACAGUACUAGAACCAGGCCUCCAGCUGCUGUGCCACGUAGGUAACCUAAAAUUAUGCUUCAACAAAUUUAUUAGCCAGGAUACAAGGAAAGUGCUCACUGCUGAUGGGAAAAUGGUAAAAUCCAGUGUUGGCUUUUCAUUUCUUAGCCUUCAGCACAGUUUCUGGAGCUCUAAAUGCUAAUGAUUGGUUUCUGUUUGUCCCCUUUCACAAGACACCCUUAUCCUGCACGGGCCAGUGAUAUAAAUCUAGAAUUUUCCUGCAGAUGUGAAAAGCUAGCUUUACUACACCGUCCUAACCCAUGUCCAGGGAGGGCUGGCCAGCCCGGGACCAACACAGCCCUCGGCACUGGUGGGCACCUCAGAGGCACACCUGGAUGAUAACCAGGAGGCUUCUCUGACAUCGGGAAGUCCCCAGUCACACUGUUAGGGCCUGAGAGGUCCAGCCCCACCCAUAUUUGCAACCUAGGAGCCAGCUUGGGGUCACUGGCUCCCUGCCACAACUCAGUGCCUGCUGCUGUAGGUGCUUCUUUCUCUGGGUCCUGGACACAGCUCUCCAGAGCGAAGGUGACUUUUGUUGUGUGGACUAAGUGAGGCGCUGUCUAAACACGUGAGUGCAUUUGUUCCAUCCACAGAAGCAGCAUGUGUCUGCUCAGCUCGGCUCCAGAGUAUUCUACUUUGCUGGCUUGUUGAACAGCAUCAUUUCUUCAAGCAGGUUUAUACUGUCCUGUGAUUUCUUUAAACAAAUUUCAGGUGAUUCAUUGCAUUUUGUGUUGCUAAAAUUUUCCAUGUACUGUACUUCAUUAGCAAGAGCCAUUUCUCCCCCACUUUUCAACACUGCUUGAUGAGAUGCAAAUAGAACCCUUUUGGUUUUCCAGUUGAACAGCCAUGAAAAAAGAAUAAUAAUAAAAAAGAGCAGUGCUUUGCUUAUCUCCAUGUUACACAUUAACACGGCCCUCUUUUACAGAGCUUCUUCAAGGUAGGUGCACUUUCAAAAGUCAAAUAACUGACAGAAUAAUUACCCUGACACUCCAAGGCUAGUGCAAAUGUUGGGGUGUGGCGUUCUGAUGAGUUCUGAAGCUUCAGUCUUUAGAACUGCACCAGAAUAUAAAUGCAAAGGGAAGGGAAUUUCCCAAUUUCUCCAAAGAGAUAUAAUUUUUAAAAAUAAUGCAGCACAAGGAAGGAAAGCUCGCAAGUUAAACUAUGUAAAAUCUUCCUAGCUGUCUCCUGCAGCACUUCCUACCACUCUCAUGCUGUUAUUUUCUUUAAUAAUAAUAAGUAUUACCACUAAUACUGCUUCACCACCAUUUACUGAGCUUACUGUAUGCCAGGCCCAGGGCAGGCUCUUCCGUACAAUAUAUCUCAGAGAACUCUCAUGAGAAUCCCAUGAGUGUCUGUGCUUAUUACCCUAGCAAACAGCCGGGGAAGGAGAGGCUCUGAGAAGUUAAAUCACUUGGGUAGUUACAGAGCUCAGCAGAAGCAGGGCCAGGAUUCCAGGGCAGGUCUGACCCACAACCCCCACCUCCCGUAUAGUUCCCACAGUUUUCUCCCUAAGCUUUUGACACAGGCCUUCCCACUCUCUUAGAGCUAACUAUGGGGCCUGGUGGUCACAAGAAUGAAAGACCCAACACACAAAUGACUGUACUCUCUCAAUUUUCGGUUUGCAAAUGAACAUACGUUGGUUGCAAAAGCACCCGAUACUGUACUUUGGAUCUCAAGUGUGCCCCAAAGGUUAAAUCCCUGGUCUCCAGCUCAUGGUACAGUUGGCAGGCUGUGGAAACCUGAAGAAGCUGGACCCAGAAAAGCUCUUCCAGUUACUGAGCCUGUGCCCCUGGGGGGCACAAUGGGACCCCAGUCCCUUCCAGUCCUGUUCCCUUUUUUGCAUCCCAGCCACGAGGUGAGUAGUUCUGCUGCCACACAUCCUCCCCACCAUGUUGUGCUGCUGCCACAUACGCUGGAAAGCAACUGGGUCAGUCGACCAUGGACUGAACCCUCUAAAACUGUGAGCCAGCAGGCUUUUCUCUGUAUCUAUGGAUGACCUCAGACAUUGCUGACAGUGAUGGAAAGCUACCACAAAUGUCAAAACUUUAGUACAGGAUUACUUGUAAUUUCACAGUGAGUUAUUUUCUCCCACCUAAGGGUAAAGGAGGGGAACUGACACUCCCUGUGGUUUCCACCCACGUUGGUCCUGACUGCUCCAGGCUGCACGGCAGUGGCCAAAAACAACGCAAGUGGACAUACUAAAGAGUUUGAAUAUGUUUAGAGUUUAGAUACAUGAAGAUUAUACUAGUGUGUAUCAAAAUCAUAUCUUCCAAUCCUGAGCCCCUUCCUGCCAGUUAAAGCUUUCUGAGUAAUAUUUAUUUUUCUUAUAUUUUUACUUAAUCUCGACCAGAGGCGAUCCAGUCCUAUCUACCUCCCUUCCGCCAACAUACACCAAGAAACCUGAAGACAAAUAAAGUGAAGGAAGUGCUAAAGGAGGUUAGAUCCGCAGCAGCAAAGAAGUAUUUUUGGUUACAAAAUGACUGUUGCAUUCAUUCUCCCUGCCAAGGGAUGUCGACGCCAGUGCCCACCAUUCAGUUCCCACCCGUACCCUGCCAGUGUUCUCAGAAGCGCCUGAGAGGGCUGAGGAUGCUCACAUGCCAUCUGGCCCACCUCAUCUUGCCUCUUCUGGAAGUCAACACCCAUUUCCUCUGCAAAACGUCCGCCUUUUGUCAGCACCGGAGGUCAAGAUCCCAAUAGGGGUCCUUCAAGUGGGUCUUGGAGACUUUCUGGAACAUUCCUGGCUGCAGACUGGGGAAUUUUCGCUCAGCAUCCUCCACCUUAGUUUUCAAUGUGCUUGGUCAUCACUCUGGAAUUGCCUGUUUUUCACAGACCUCUUCCUCUUUUUGGCUUACACCCAGCUACGGGCUGUGCAUAUGAAAAGGCUUCCAGGAUAUUACAACUGACUGCUGCUGCCACAAACCUUUAGGGAUUAUGAAGGGAGGAAGCUCAUGUUUAGAUUGAUUCCCUUCUAACCUCUCCCACUCAUACCACAGACUGCAUAUUUUCUCCUCACAAAGGCAAACAUGACUGACCUCUGUUUAAAUGUUUAUUAGAAGCUGUCUGGACUUGCAGUCUCUGAAGUUACAUUCUUUAUUAGUCACGUCCUUCUUGGUGUGUGGUGUGACCCUUCUAGCAGGCCAAGAGGAAUGCUUGGGGCCUGUGAAGAAAUCACUGGGUGCUGGCAGCACCCACCACCACUCAGGUUCGUUAGCCCCAAAUGAGCGAGCAGAAGCUGGGCGAUUAAAGAAUCUGGGUUCCCAGUGGUGGUGGCUUCAGUUUUGAAUGUGCAUGAAAAAGACUUUGGACGGGUGGGAAAAGGCACUGUACACCAGCCGACUGGGCAAAGCCAGCCCAUGUCUGAGAGGACAGGGGCGGGGGGGAAGCAUGGACUGCAGCAGGUUGAGUGGGUUUCGGUCCCAGGCCUCACCCCAUUCUGCUUGGUCCUAAAUUUUUCAUCUUUAAAAUGGGAAGGCUGAAGCAGAAAUCCAGGAGGUCCUUUUGGGGUCAAUAUCUUUUCUGACUAUCAGAAGUGGAAAAAAACAGGCAUACACUUUAGCCUAGGGAAGUCACAGUAAGGAGGGUCUCACUGAGAAGGGCCUGAGCUUGCAAGCACCGCACUAGAAUUUUCCCCGGCACCAGUGUGGAUCCCAAACUGAGAUGGGGCGAGCUCUCCUGGUGCAGUCUCAGAAUGAAAAUACUGUGGGGAAGGGGGCAAACAGAUGUCAGUCGAUGGUGAACUAAAAUAUCACUGCUGAACAUUCUACACCUAUGAGUCACACUGUUUUAAUUCAGUACUUGGUAGUUAAAAGACGAUAAAGAAAAUUCUUUCAUAUGUUUAGUACCAUUUAUCAUGGGAUGUUACGAUACAGUUUUUUUUUCUCUUCAGUACUAUGAACUGAACCCAGGACCUCCACACUGGGCUACAUCCCCAGCACUUUUUUAUUUUAUAUUUUGAGACAGAUCUCACUAAGUCUCUAACUUGCCCAGGAUGGGCUUGAAUUUGUGAUCUUGUCUCAGUCUCCCAGAGUACUGGGAUUAUGGUUGAGUGCCACUUCUGGUAUUAAAAAAAACACACAUACACAUACAAAGUACAUGUUCAUUGUUUUUUUUUUUUUUUUUUGUCUUUUUCAUUUUUAUCAGUGCCAGGGAUCGAACUCAUGACCACACACUUCAAGGCAGGCGCUUAUGCCGCUGAGCUAAAUCCCCAGCCCCAGUACAUGUUCAUUGUAAUAAUUCAAACAAUAUGCAAUUAUGUAAAGAACUACCUACUUUCUUUUUUUUUUUUUUUUAAAUCGGUACCAGGGAUCGAACUCAUGACCAGUACCAGAGAUCAAACUAACGACCAUGUGCUUGCAAGACUGCCAUGAGCUGUUUCUCUUCUGCCAUACCACCCUAUCUUGAGCCAGCUGAUGAUGGACUGAAACCUCUACAAAACGUGAGCCAAAAGAAACCUGUCCUCCUUAGAGCUGUGGCUGUCAAGUGUUGCAUCUCAGCAACGAGAAGGAAACUAAGACAGCCUCUAACUUGUGGUCCUCCUGACUCAGCCUCCUGUGUAGCUGGGAUUACGUGUAUGUACUACCACCCCUAGUUCUUUUAUAUUUUAGGUAAGUGAAGCAAGCAGUCAUAGACUCUGAGGAGGCAAGUAUAUCCCACAAACUGAGACACUCAAGUGCUCAGCCACAAUCUCACUAUUCUGCACAUAGCCAGGUGGACGUACAGCAGCCCUAUCCCAAGGGGAUAUGUUCCAAGGUCCGCAGGAGGUGCCUGAAACCUCAGAGAGGACUGACCUCUACAUGUGUUGCCUUCAUUCUGGUCAUGCAUAUCUGCGAUAGGGGUUAAUUUAUAAGCUAGGCAUUGGAAGAGAAUAACAACUGUUAUAAAAUAGAACAAGUUUCACAAUACACUGUCAUAAAAGUUAGGUAAAAUUUUGUAUUGUUUAUUCCCAGAACUUGCAACUUCGUAUUUUUGAACUGUAGUUGACAAGUGUCUGAAAUCUUGAAAAGUGAAAGAGAAGAUAAAGGAGGACUACUGUGUAUCACAGACUACAUCAACAGAAGAGUAGAGACCCUUUUUCUUUAGUGAAAAAUAUUAAAGACAAGAACUCCAAAUGUCAUGAAGUUUUUACUGUUUAUUUGUCAUGCAAGUAGCUGCCACAUGAAAGACAUUUUCAAAUGCAGGGAUGCAGGUGUUUUUUAGGGACCUCAACUCAACUAGGCACUAUUAUCUUCCUUUUAUAUCAAAAUAUUUGAUUGACCAGCUUUAAUUUUUGGUACCAUUUUUUUUUUAUUGGUACUGGGGAUCGAACUCAUGACCACAUGCUUGCAAGGCAGGUACUUAUGCUGCUAAGCUAAAUCCCCACCCCCGACCAGCUUUAAUUUUAACAAAGAUAUUAUAGCAAGCAGGAGUCCUUUGCUUCUGGUCUUGCUGGAACUUUGUAUGAGAACAGGCUAGAAAAUGCCAGUGCCCGGCAACUGCAGAUGCAGACCAGGCCACUGCCAGGGCCCUGGGAUUUUCGGCCACUAAGUGCAACUUUUGUAAAGAGGAGCUGGGACACAAGUGCAGGUCUCAAAGUCUUUUCUGCAGCCUGAUAAUCACCAAACAGAGCUGAGCACAACAAAAAGUCAUUUGUAUUGUGUACUGGAAUUUGUGCUUUCAACCUUCUGUUCUUAGGGGAAAUUUGUCUAAACUGGGUUAGUUUAAUUUUUUUUAUUAGUCCAUACUAGUUCUGCAGAAACAUGGGUUUUGUUUUGGCACAAACCUUGAUCAUCUUCCCCUCUCCUAGUCUCCUGUUCUCUAAUAGUAUUUUUUAUACUUUCAUGUCACUUUUCUUUUUAAAGCCUUAUCUAGAUUUUUCAUAUGAUAGAAAACAUGAUUUUGUUUCUGGCUUGUUUCUCUUAACAUAAUAUGUUCUCCAGUUCCUUCUAUUUUCUGCAAAUGACAUGACCUCGUUCUUCUUUAUGGCUAACAGUCCACUGUGUAUACAGUAUAUACAUACAUUCUACUCCUGUAGCAUAGCACUAUGAACUGCACUGCAAUAAGCAUAGGUAAGCAGAUGUACACACUAUGCUGACUUUCGUUCUGCUUGGAAUAUACCAAAGAGUGGUAUAGUUGGGUAAAACAAUAGCUGUAUUUUUAAUUUCUUGAGGAACUUCUAUAUUGAUUUCCAACACUGUAUUACUUUAUCUCCCAGCAACAAUGGAGAAGAACCUUUUUCCCUAGAUCUAGAAGAGGCUAAUUUUUCAAUUGGAAUCACCAAUGUCAAUAUGUCUCAAAAAUUUUAAAACCUAUAACCCCAGCUUCUCAAGGGAAAGAGGCAGGAAGUGUGCAAAUCUGAGACCACCUAGUUAACUCAGUGAGUCCUUGUCCCCCUGUUCAAAAAGAGGAAGGCUGGGGAUGUAGCUCAGUGGUACAGUGCUUUCUGACCAUAUGCAUUCCCCUGGGUUCAAAGCUUGUACCAUAAACACAGACACACACACACACACACACACACACACACACACACACACAGAGGGGGAAAAAAAGGAAAGAAAGGUUCAUAUCAUAGAGUCAGCAAUUCCAGUUUGCAACCUAUCCUAAAAGGACAUGCAGACAUCUUUAUGUCUAAUGAUGUGAAUUAAAGGGUUAUUUAUGACAGAAAAACUCAAGUAAAUUAUGGCUUGUUUAAAAGAUUAUGCAGAAUUACAAUGUUUAUAAAAUUUCUAUUUUCUGUUAAGCAAAAUAUUAGUUAUAAAUUGAAAACAAGACAUAAACAUACAUAAAUAGCAUGAUGAAAAUAAUCGUAUCAUAUACGCCUAAAAAGACUAGAAAAAAUAAAUCAAAAUAUGGAGUGGAAUACAAAAAAAUGUUAACAAUGACUGUCUUUGAUUUCCAUGAAUUCAGCAGUGUUAUGGUUUGUGUCUGGAUGUCCCUCCAAAGCCUCAUACGGUCAUGGAGCGGGCUUCUAGCAUCUGUGAUUGACUCAUGGUCCAGUGCUGGGGUUAUGGGCAUGAGUGCUACACCUGCCUGGGGCGGGUAGCCUGCACACAAUGUAAGGGACGGAGGAAGCUUGCUCUUGUGCUCCUCCCUUUUGGCUCUUGUUGCUUUUGCUGUCUUCUCCUGUCAUGAACGGUUGCUCUCUGCCAUGUGCCAUUUUGCCUUGGAGCCAGCUGGUUAUGGACUGAAACCUCUACAAACUGAGCUAAAUAAGACUUUCCUUCCUUCAUGUUGGGUGUCAGGUAUUUUGUCUCAGUCAUAAGAGAAAGCAACCAGCACAAACAGAUUUCUAUAAUGUUAGUUUUUAAUAACAAGAAAGAACUUCAGUGAACAUGAAAUUAAAUUAGCUUAUACUCCCAGGACACGCAUACAAGGCAGCUGAAAUCAAAUUAGGAUGUAAGUCUAGAACCUAAAAUCCAUUGUGCUCUGAGAAAAAAGUGAAACAUCUGACAAUGAACUGCUGAAGAUGGUGCUUUUAUUAUCUGAACAAGUCAUAGCACCUACUGGUAUUUUAAACUGUGCUUUUUCCUUUUGUCAGGAACUACGUAGAGUGAUGUGAGUUUACCGUUUAUUUUUCCCUUAGCAUUUGCCAAGGUUAUAAAACACAAUCUUAAAAUAAACACAAUCUUAAAAUA
Molecule: long non-coding RNA, 12759 nt
Organism: Cavia porcellus (domestic guinea pig)
Lineage: Eukaryota; Metazoa; Chordata; Mammalia; Rodentia; Caviidae
Exons: 2
Source: RefSeq, a predicted model, not a curated record